Molecule: ribosomal RNA, 510 nt
Filed under: uncultured bacterium
Lineage: Bacteria
Description: partial 16S ribosomal RNA
Rfam family: Bacterial small subunit ribosomal RNA
Source: RNAcentral
GACGAACGCUGGCGGCGUGCUUAACACAUGCAAGUCGAACGAAGAGCGAUGGAAGCUUGCUUCUAUCAAUCUUAGUGGCGAACGGGUGAGUAACGCGUAAUCAACCUGCCCUUCAGAGGGGGACAACAGUUGGAAACGACUGCUAAUACCGCAUACGAUCUAAUCUCGGCAUCGAGGAUAGAUGAAAGGUGGCCUCUACAUGUAAGCUAUCACUGAAGGAGGGGAUUGCGUCUGAUUAGCUAGUUGGAGGGGUAACGGCCCACCAAGGCGAUGAUCAGUAGCCGGUCUGAGAGGAUGAACGGCCACAUUGGGACUGAGACACGGCCCAGACUCCUACGGGAGGCAGCAGUGGGGAAUCUUCCGCAAUGGACGAAAGUCUGACGGAGCAACGCCGCGUGAGUGAUGACGGCCUUCGGGUUGUAAAGCUCUGUUAAUCGGGACGAAAGGCCUUCUUGCGAAUAGUGAGAGGGAUUGACGGUACCGGAAUAGAAAGCCACGGCUAACUACGUG